This is a long non-coding RNA of Glossina fuscipes, 503 nucleotides long. RefSeq lists it as uncharacterized. The record is from RefSeq and is a predicted model, not a curated record. NCBI's taxonomy places the organism in Eukaryota, Metazoa, Arthropoda, Insecta, Diptera, Glossinidae. The transcript has 2 exons.
GGAAAGUUAUAAGUAAAUAAAUGGAGUAUUUAUUGCAGCUGCAAUUAAAUAAAAAUUUUUAAAAUUUCAAAUAUCGUAAUUCAAACACCAAGAUAAUUGAUUAACUGAGUGAGUGCGUUAACUAAAAGAAAGAAAGAAAAAGUGUGGAAAAAGCGACGUCAUCAGUUAGCAGUAUUUAUACAUUUUUGUUUUAAAAAAUUAAACGUGUGUAUGUGUAGUAUGUGUGUACCGAUUGCGGAAGAAAGUUUUCAUAAACUUAGAUCCGUGACCUCUCUCCAGAGCAAUUACAUUUCUCCCAAGAUACAAUCCUUCCCCCUCAUAUUCUUUGUAAUAAAAAUCAUAGCAAAAAAAGUGUCAAAUUGAUAUUAUAAUAAUAAUAAUAAUAAUAAUAAUAAUAAUAAAAACAAAACCAACCCAUUGAAAUAACAAAACAGCUGUAAAAAUUAAUAUUUCCUUAUUGCAAUUGUGCGUGCGAAGAAUAAAAGAAAAAAACAAAAUUUCAA